Non-coding RNA from Ciona intestinalis (vase tunicate), 304 nucleotides. Lineage: Eukaryota; Metazoa; Chordata; Ascidiacea; Phlebobranchia; Cionidae. The record is from RefSeq and is a predicted model, not a curated record.
CAUUCUGUUGUCUUAAUCCAUCAGUUUCUUGUAUCUUGGUUGAUCGCUCAGUAAGGACAGAGCUGCAUUGGGAACAACGUCAUAACUAUGUUAAGAACUCACUGAUAUUUAGUGAAAGCCUCCACCAACGCAUCCCACAUCUCAAGUUUCCGAUCAUCAAUGAUAGAAGCCAGAGACUCCCAGUAAGCGGCGUCAUUAGAAGAAUCUCGAUCACUCAUCGUGCAAUUAUUGUUUUUCAUAAUCGACUUCUGUCUCUCUCUGUGUGAUAAUGAAUGAAUAAAACUCACUUUAUCUCCGCGUGGCA